GUGCAUACAUAAUCACACAAGUUUGUAAGGACGUAUCAACAAUUAUUAAAGCAACAAGGAGGAUUAUAUAUUUGUGACAGGACAUGUCAAGAGGCGUGCACUUUCUUUUUUGGAUUAACAUCAGUAGUGGAACAGUCAUGUCUAAAUUCUGCAAUAAGUAGAGGCGUAGGAAAAGAGGACAUGAUUGAUAUAUUCUUUUUAGAAAUUAAAUCAAUUUGUAUGGAUGCUUUAUCCCACAGUUUUGUUUUGUGACACAAAUGGAUAUAAUAGGUGUCAUGUCGUCCUCCAGUUCAUAAAAACACAGGCAUUUUGUGCUACAAAUUUGCUUUACGACCGUUCUCCCGUACCCCCCCCACGCACCAAUCACACUAACUUAUUACAAAUGUCUACUUCUUUCCCAUAAUUAAAUACUUGCGGUUUCUGAUAACUGGAAACGGAAAAAGGAAAAACAUUCACACAGACCUAUUGGCAUGUCAAACAAAGUAUUAUCAAACCAAAUAUCGCUCAACUGUUUAUGAUUUUAAGGAAUGUCAGAUAAAGCUAUAUCCAAAAUUACAAUUCAGAAUCUGUUCAAAGCCAUCUAAUUAAUGGAAACUAUUUUUAAGUGAUCAGAAGUCCC
Non-coding RNA from Pelobates cultripes (western spadefoot toad), 619 nucleotides. Lineage: Eukaryota; Metazoa; Chordata; Amphibia; Anura; Pelobatidae. The record is from the annotation of a GenBank genome assembly.